CACGUAGGGCGCGAGCGUUGUCCGGAAUUAUUGGGCGUAAAGAGCUCGUAGGCGGCCUGUUGCGUCCGCUGUGAAAGCCCGGGGCUUAACCCCGGGUCUGCAUUCGAUACGGGUCUGCUGGGGUCCGGCAGGGGAGACUGGAAUUCCUGGUGUAGCGGUGAAAUGCGCAGAUAUCAGGAGGAACACCGGUGGCGAAGGCGGGUCUCUGGGCCAGUACCGACGCUGAGGAGCGAAAGCGUGGGGAGCGAACAGG
RNAcentral lists this ribosomal RNA (253 nucleotides) under uncultured bacterium. Its description in RNAcentral is "partial 16S ribosomal RNA". It matches the Rfam family "Bacterial small subunit ribosomal RNA", at positions 524 to 776 of the family's 1533-position model. The record is from RNAcentral.